RNAcentral lists this long non-coding RNA (676 nucleotides) under Triticum aestivum (bread wheat). RNAcentral describes it as "long non-coding RNA (TAES_LNC000303)". Lineage: Eukaryota; Viridiplantae; Streptophyta; Magnoliopsida; Poales; Poaceae. The record is from RNAcentral.
GCAGUCUAGCAUUAUCCCGAAAAUUAAACCAUUUCCUGUGCUAGAUGAGAGAAAUUUUAAUCCACAAUUACCUCCUUGUCUAGCCGCUUAUAGCUUCUGAUCACGCCGCAAAGCCGGUGUUCCCAUACAUCUCUAUGCCCUCGCCACCGCGGCCCAUCUGGUCGUCUGCGAUGCCAUGGAAUCCUGCGACUCCACCGGUAGGACAACACCAAUCAGCUCCGCCGCAUGAACACGCAUCCUGCAGAAAAUGGUUUGACACAGCAAAACAAACUCAGAUCAAUGGAAAGAGACGAGGAUCUAUACGUGGAUGUGCGGUCGCGCCGCCGUCGCCCAUCUGGCCAUUGACGACACUCAUGGAGUCCUGCGACUCCACAGGUUGGAGAGAAGCAGUAAACGCCAAGGAUCCUGUACAAAAUCGAGCUCCUCAGUCAACUCUAUCCAAAUCCGCCAUGGGGAUUAAGCAAGCCAUGACCUGAAGAAAAGGAGGGGGCGGAAGGAAAAAGGGGGGCGGCGGAAUACACAUCCCCAUUGCAGUCAACACCAUUGUUGGACAUCUCGCGGCACAGCACCGGCGCCGCCGUCGUCCGGCGGAGAGAGUGAAUGGGGCCGAGAGGCAGGCUUGUUCUGUCGCUACCGCUUCUCCCACGGGGUUCAGGAUAACACUAGGGGGAGGAGG